Non-coding RNA from Podarcis lilfordi (Lilford's wall lizard), 68 nucleotides. The record is from the annotation of a GenBank genome assembly. Lineage: Eukaryota; Metazoa; Chordata; Lepidosauria; Squamata; Lacertidae.
UCAUAGCUCAGUGGUAGAGCAUCUGCUUUGCAUGCGGAAGGUUCAUGGUUCAAUCCCCAGUAUCUGAA